This 505-nucleotide ribosomal RNA is filed under the name uncultured bacterium. Its description in RNAcentral is "bacterial SSU rRNA". It matches the Rfam family "Bacterial small subunit ribosomal RNA", at positions 28 to 524 of the family's 1533-position model. The record is from RNAcentral.
GACGAACGCUGGCGGCGUGGAUUAGGCAUGCAAGUCGAACGGUAUCAUCCUUUCGGGGGUGAGAGAGUGGCGAACUGGUGAGUAACACGUAGGUUAUCUACCCUCAAGACGGGGACAACCCAGGGAAACUUGGGCUAAUACCGGAUGUGAGCAACUUUUAGUUGUUUGAAAGGUGGCGUAAGCUGUCGCUUGGGGAUGAGCCUGCGUCCUAUUAGUUAGUUGGUGAGGUAACGGCUCACCUAGGCAAUGAUAGGUAGGCGGCCUUAACGGGUGGUCGCCCACACUGGGAUUGAGAUACGGCCCAGACUCCUACGGGAGGCAGCAGUCGAGAAUAGUCUACAAUGGUCGGAAGACUGAUAGUGCGACGCCGCGUGAACGAUGAAUCCCUUCGGGGUGUAAAGUUCUUUUAUAUGUGAGCAGUGCUUCUUAUAUUAACAGUAUGGGGAAGAGAGAUAUUAGCAUAUGAAUAAGCAACGGCUAACUCCGUGCCAGCAGCCGCGGUAAA